RNAcentral lists this antisense RNA (75 nucleotides) under Streptomyces sp. MP131-18. RNAcentral describes it as "ASpks TB sRNA". It matches the Rfam family "ASpks TB sRNA". Lineage: Bacteria; Bacillati; Actinomycetota; Actinomycetes; Kitasatosporales; Streptomycetaceae. The record is from Rfam by way of RNAcentral.
CUUCAACGAGCCGAGCCACAGCGGCCGUUCGGUCUCACGUUCCUGGCCGUAGGUGGCGAUGAGCGCUUGGGCCUC